UCCCUGGUGGCCUAGUGGUUAGGGAGUCAGCAUUGUCAGUGCUAUGGCUCAGGUUCAAUCCCUGGCCUGGAAA
This 73-nucleotide transfer RNA is filed under the name Sus scrofa (pig). It matches the Rfam family "tRNA". Rfam says of the family: Transfer RNA (tRNA) molecules are approximately 80 nucleotides in length. Their secondary structure includes four short double-helical elements and three loops (D, anti-codon, and T loops). Lineage: Eukaryota; Metazoa; Chordata; Mammalia; Artiodactyla; Suidae. The record is from Rfam by way of RNAcentral.